GAUGAACGCUAGCGGCAGGCCUAACACAUGCAAGUCGAGGGGCAGCAUAGGGUAGCAAUACUCUGAUGGCGACCGGCAAACGGGUGAGUAACGCGUAUGCAACCUACCCUGUACAGGGGGAUAACCCGGAGAAAUUCGGACUAAUAUCCCGUAAUAAUAUCCGGAGGCAUCUUUGGAUAUUAAAGUUCCGACGGUACGGGAUGGGCAUGCGUAACAUUAGCUGGUUGGUAAGGUAACGGCUUACCAAGGCUAUGAUGUUUAGGGGUCCUGAGAGGGUGGUCCCCCACACUGGUACUGAGACACGGACCAGACUCCUACGGGAGGCAGCAGUGAGGAAUAUUGGUCAAUGGGCGCAAGCCUGAACCAGCCAUCCCGCGUGCAGGAAGACGGCCCUAUGGGUUGUAAACUGCUUUUCCAGGGAGAGAAACUUACGCACGUGUUGCGUGACUGACGGUACCCUGGGAAUAAGCAUCGGCUAACUCCGUG
Molecule: ribosomal RNA, 486 nt
Filed under: uncultured bacterium
Lineage: Bacteria
Description: bacterial SSU rRNA
Rfam family: Bacterial small subunit ribosomal RNA
Source: RNAcentral